This 371-nucleotide ribosomal RNA is filed under the name uncultured bacterium. RNAcentral describes it as "bacterial SSU rRNA". It matches the Rfam family "Bacterial small subunit ribosomal RNA", at positions 527 to 896 of the family's 1533-position model. The record is from RNAcentral.
AGAGGUCUCAAGCGUUGUUCGGAUUCAUUGGGCGUAAAGGGUGUGUAGGCGGCGCGGUAAGUCGGGUGUGAAAUCUUGGAGCUUAACUCCGAAACUGCAUUCGAUACUGCCGUGCUUGAGGACUGGAGAGGAGACUGGAAUUUACGGUGUAGCGGUGAAAUGCGUAGAUAUCGUAAGGAAGACCAGUGGCGAAGGCGGGUCUCUGGACAGUUCCUGACGCUGAGGCACGAAGGUCAGGGGAGCAAACGGGAUUAGAUACCCCGGUAGUCCUGACAGUAAACGGUGCACGUUUGGUGUGGAGGGAUUCGACCCCUUCUGCGCCGGAGCUAACGCGUUAAACGUGCCGCCUGGGGAGUACGGUCGCAAGAUUA